UCACGUUAACUUUUUUCUGGAAGACAGCUUUACAAGAAUCUAGACGGACCAAAUUCCAGGCUCCAGAACAUUCCAGCAACCAGCUUAGCAGACCAUACAUUCUACAGGAGCUGAGAACUGAUAAGUCUCUUCUUCACCGUGAUUUGAAACUUUCCAGUCUCAGAAAAGUUGACCAAGGGACUGCACAGGACUGAGUCCAUAUGGAAGAAGAAGUACCUGGUUUCUAUGGAGAAAGUGGCAAGUCAGUACAGGCUACCCUGUCGUCGUUGAAGAUGUUAGAUGUGGGAAAGUGGCCAAUCUUCUCCCUUUGUUCUGAGGAAGAGCUGCAGUUGAUUCGCCAGGCUUGUGUCUUCGGCACGGCUGGCAAUGAAGUUUUAUACACUACGGUCAACGAUGAGGUAAUUUUGAAGAAAAAAUUCAACCACCCAUGUUUUUAGUAACGGGUUUGUAAAUUGAAGACAUCAGGGGAACUAAGGAAUAAAGCCUUUAAACAAAUGUGGAAAGUUAUUUUUUUACUUAUUGUGUGCUGAGGCAGUUUGCUUUAGGAAGGUUGAGGUAAUUUAUAGAAUUUUCAGAAAUAUAGCUCCUUGAACUGUUUUUUCCCCGCAGAUUUUUGUUCUUGGCACAAACUGCAGUGGCUGUCUGGGGGUAGGUGACAUUCAGAGCACUAUUGAGCCUCGGAGACUGGAUUCUUUAACUGGCAAAAAAAUAGCCCCAAAGUAGCAGGGUAAGGUUUAAAACACACGGGGUCUGAGCGCAUGGAAGACGAUGCACUCAGCCCUUCUGUGCUCGGUAAGUGUGAGUAUUGUGUGAGAUCUCUCCUGACGUCUGUGCUCGGUAAGUGUGAGUAUUGUGUGAGAUCUCUCCUGACUUCGGAGCUUAGGAAGCCUACACUUUGAACUUAGAUUCCUGGGCUGUGAAUUGAGAGACCAAAUGUUGACUUUGCCAUCCCUUUAAAUCUUAGCAGUCCGUGAUUCUUUCAGUAAGUAGUGGCUGAUAGAAGUUUGCCCUAGUCGUAUAGAGAAAACAGUCUCUUGGCUACAUCACUAGAAGUAAAUUAUGCCCUUGAAGUGUACGACGUUUAAAUUUGGGAGGGGAUUCCAGUAUAGAACAGAUCAUGCAGACCAUUUCUUAAUU
RNAcentral lists this long non-coding RNA (1137 nucleotides) under Rattus norvegicus (Norway rat). RNAcentral describes it as "long non-coding RNA NONRATT010585". Lineage: Eukaryota; Metazoa; Chordata; Mammalia; Rodentia; Muridae. The record is from RNAcentral.